AUGGCGAUGCUCAAAGGCUUAGCACUCGCGCUUCUCGUUAGCUUCUUCUCAUGCUACCUGGCCUCGGUCCCUUCCCUAGCCUCCCCCGAUGACUUCCUCCAAUGCCUACGGGAGAAGAUACCUAGCGAGCUCGUGUACACGAAAAGCUCGAGCAGCUUCGCCGGCGUGCUGGUCUCCUCCAUUAGGAGCGCCAGAUUCUUCACCAACACCACGGUGAGGCCGCUCUGCGUCGUGACGCCGACCGACGCCUCCCACGUCCAGGCCGCCGUGCUCUGCGGCCGCAUGCAGGGCGUGCGUCUCCGCGUGCGCAGCGGCGGGCACGACUACGAGGGCCUGUCGUACCGGUCGGCGCGGCCCGAGGUGUUCGGGGUGCUCGACCUCGCCAAUCUCCGCGCCGUGAGCGUCAACCAGCUUGAGUCCACUGCUUGGGUCGACUCUGGCGCCACCAUCGGGGAGCUGUACUACACCAUCGCGAAGGACAACUCCCAGCUCGCGUUCCCGGCCGGCUUGUGCCCGACCAUCGGCGUGGGCGGCCACUUCAGCGGUGGCGCCAUCGGCAUGAUGAUGCGCAAGUAUGGCCUCGCCGUCGACAACGUCCUCGACGCCAAGUUUGUCACCGCCAACGGGGAUCUCCUCGACAGGGCCGGCAUGGGGGAGGAUCUCUUCUGGGCCAUCCGAGGCGGCGGCGGCGGGAGCUUCGGCAUCGUGCUCUCGUGGAAGGUCCAGCUCGUGCAGGUCCCGCCGACGGUGACCAUGUUCAACAUCGCAAAGACGCUUGACCAGGGCGCCGUAGACAUCGUGACCAGAUGGCAAGAUGUCGGGCCAUCACUCCCCAACGACCUCACCAUAAGGGUGAUCGUGCAGGGCCAGCAAGCCCUGUUCCAGGCCCUAUACCUCGGCACGUGCAGCUCGCUCGUGUCGACCAUGGGCGACCAGUUCCCGGAGCUCACCAUGACGAGCGCCGACUGCCAGUCGAUGACCUGGCUCCAGUCCAUAGCCUUCAUCAGCUUCUGGAACAGGGACACGCCGGUGGAGGCGCUCCUGAGCCGGACCACCAGCCUGAGCACGUACACCAAAAGCAAGUCCGACUACGUCCAGAGCGCCAUCUCCAAGGGCGUCUGGAAGGACAUCUUCUCCUGGUUCACGAUGAACGGCGCCGGGCUCGUCAUCCUGGAGCCCCACGGCGGGUUCAUGGGGAGCGUCCCCACCGACGCGACGCCGUACCCGCACCGGAGCGGCGUGCUGUACAACGUCCAGUACAUGGUGUUCUGGCAGGGAGACGGGGGCACGGCGGCGAACACCUGGCUGGGCAACUUCUACGACUUCAUGGAGCAGUACGUGAGCAAGAACCCGAGGCAAGCGUACGUGAACUACCGGGACCUGGACAUCGGCCAGAACGUGGUGGUGGACGACGUCACCACGUUCGACGGCGGCAAGGUUUGGGGCGAGCAGUACUUCGCGAGUAACUUCCAGAGGCUCGCGUCGGUGAAGGCGGCCGUGGAUCCUACAGACUACUUCAGAAACGAGCAGAGCAUCCCACCAUUGGUCCAAGGACGUAAGUGA
This 1563-nucleotide ribosomal RNA is filed under the name Triticum aestivum (bread wheat). RNAcentral's name for it is "partial small subunit ribosomal RNA". Lineage: Eukaryota; Viridiplantae; Streptophyta; Magnoliopsida; Poales; Poaceae. The record is from RNAcentral.